RNAcentral lists this ribosomal RNA (1369 nucleotides) under metagenome. RNAcentral's name for it is "bacterial SSU rRNA". It matches the Rfam family "Bacterial small subunit ribosomal RNA", at positions 8 to 1383 of the family's 1533-position model. The record is from RNAcentral.
AGAGUUUGAUUUUGGUUUAGGAUGAACGCUAGCGGCAGGCUUAAUAUAUGUAAGUAGAGGGGUAAGGUUUUGUUUGUAGAAUAUAUGAUUGGUGUAUGGGUGAGUAUUGUGUUUGUAAUUUACCUGUAGCUGGGGUAUAGUUUUUGGAAAUGGAAAUUAAUAUUUUAUAAUAUCAUAGAUUCGUAUGUUUUUAUGAUUAAAGUUUUGAUGGUUAUAGAUGGGUAUGUGUGAUAUUAGGUAGUUGGUAAGGUAAUGGUUUACCAAGCCUAUGAUGUUUAGGGGGUUUGAGAGGAUGAUUUUUUAUAUUGGUAUGAGAUAUGGACUAGACUCCUAUGGGAGGUAGUAGUGAGGAAUAUUGGUUAAUGGGAGUAAGUUUGAAUUAGCCAUGCCGCGUGCAGGAUGAAUGCCCUAUGGGUUGUAAACUGCUUUUCUGCAAGAAGAAAUCCACCGAUGUGUUGGAGGUUGAUGGUAUUGCAGGAAUAAGCAUCGGCUAAUUCCGUGUUAGUAGUUGUGGUAAUAUGGGGGAUGCAAGCGUUAUCCGGAUUUAUUGGGUUUAAAGGGUGCGUAGGCGGGACAAUAAGUCAGUGGUGAAAUUUUAUAGUUUAAUUAUAGAAUUGCCAUUGAUACUGUUGUUCUUGAGUCCAGUUGAGGUGGGCGGAAUGUAUAAUGUAGUGGUGAAAUGUUUAGAUAUUUUAUAGAAUGUUAAUUGUGAAGGUAGCUCACUAAACUGGUAUUGACGCUGAGGCACGAAAGUGUGGGGAGUGAAUAGGAUUAGAUAUUUAGGUAGUUUAUGUUGUAAAUGAUGAUUACUCGUAGUUGGCAAUAUAUUGUCAGCGACUGAGUAAAAGUAUUAAGUGAUUUAUUUGGGGAGUAUGGUCGUAAGAUUGAAACUCAAAGGAAUUGAUGGGGGUUUGUAUAAGUGGUGGAAUAUGUGGUUUAAUUUGAUGAUAUGUGAGGAACCUUACCUGGGCUUAAAUGUAGAGUGAUUUUUUGGGAAAUUGGAAUUUUUUUUGGGAUAAUUUGUAAGGUGCUGCAUGGCUGUCGUCAGUUCGUGCCGUGAGGUGUUGGGUUUUUAUAACGAGCGCAACCCCUAUCGUUAGUUGCCAGCGGAUAAUGCGGGGGAUUCUAACGAAACUGUUGGUGUAAACCGAGAGGAAGGUGGGGAUGACGUCAAGUCAGCACGGCCCUUACGUUUAGGGUUAUAUAUGUGUUAUAAUGGUUAGUAUAAAGGGUAGUUAUUAGGUGAUUGGAUGUUAAUUUUUAAAGUUGGUUUUAGUUCGGAUUGAAGUCUGUAAUUUGACUUCAUGAAGGUGGAAUCGCUAGUAAUCGCGUAUCAGCAAUGAUGUGGUGAAUAUGUUCCUGGGUUUUG